RNAcentral lists this long non-coding RNA (449 nucleotides) under Gallus gallus (chicken). RNAcentral describes it as "lncRNA (ENSGALG00010022785.1)". The record is from RNAcentral. Lineage: Eukaryota; Metazoa; Chordata; Aves; Galliformes; Phasianidae.
GUGACUUUUAAAUGAAAUUCUAGUAGGUGUUUAAAGGUUGUUAGUGGAUAAGUUGAGCUUUAUUGUGGCUCCAACUGUAGCACACGUAUAUUGAUGACAGAAUGAAGGACACUAUAAAUUGUACAGUGUGAGAGGCGGCCGAUGUCUGCAGCACACGGGAUUCAGGAGCACGCUCUUGGUCACUCUUUGUGUUGCAGAAACUGUGGCUGUCCUGGCAGCAUCCCAUCCUUCUUUCACCAAGGGGGGCAAAAGGAGUGUCCAGGAUGCAUCUCUAAAGGUCUGCUUCCACUUCUCACCAAGGCAUGGUGCACUGCUGAAACUGAAGGAAAAUUUUUAAAGAUUUAGCCUGUAAUUUCUGAAACUGUUUAAAGUAACGUUGUAUGGAAACUGACUUUCUUAAUGCAAUUUGUCUACUUUUUCUCCAAACAUCACAGAAGAGAAUUAAAAUU